GGCGCAGACACAUUAUAGGAACUUUGUAGGAAAGCACAAAGAGGCUGUAGAGAUUACAACCACCACCUUAUCUGGUGCAGGAGAGUUUGUGUGUGUGUUUUUUUUAAGUGUUUCGCCCAGCUCCUCCUUCCCCCACUACAAACAGCAAACACAUGAGUGAGCUAAUCAGCUCUUAAACUGAAAAACCUUUCGAUACAGGAGAGUGAUGGAAGAUAAAAGCUGAGGGGCGGCAGGAGGGUCAAAUAAAAGUUGCUCCGCAGUUCGCUCAUCCAAGCCCCGCAGCGACCGCAGGGGGGUGAGGUUCCCAAAGCCACUUUCACACCUUCGAUAAUGCACUAGCAAAGAGAAGCCCGGAGAGGCUGAAGUUUCCACGGAGGGCACCGUCGGGGAGACGCAGCCCGGGAGGACAGAAGGGUUGGGCUCGCUACCUCUGCACACGGGCGAGCCGGGGCUCCGUCGCUCAGAUGUCCUUAAUAAGCAGAUUUGACCAAGAACUCUGACUUCAAUGGUGGAAGAUUUCUGGGAAAGAGGAGGAAGAGGCUAAAAAUAUUUUAAAGAAAGGGAUUUGGGAAAGAAGCUGCUUGUCUAAUAACAGUCAAGUGGACAGAUGAGGAUGGAGUAUGAGGAACCAGAUUUGGAAGAUAUGUGAAUCAAGAAGAACAUCAACAUCAAGAAUCAACAGGCCUUGAUGAUAGAUUUGAUAAAGGGGGGCUGAGAAGAAUGAGUCAAAUGACAUUUUUAGGCCUUUAAUUUGCCAAGACAGAUGAUGACAUUCAAUGAAAUCUAGAUUAUCAGUUAACAGCUGUUUAUUGAGCACCUUCUAUGUUCCGGACAUUAUUCUAGACCCACAGUCUAUUUUCACUGUACUCAGGAGAGGCAUACAGUAAACAAGUGGAUAAUCUGAAAUAGUGAUAACCUUGAUGGAGAAAAUAAAACAGGGUUACGUGAGAGUGACUGGGGGAAGAGACACUUUAGCUGAGGUCCUCACGAAGACUGACACUUGAACUAAGACCUGAAAUGAUAAGGAGGCAGGCAAGUGAGGCUCCAGUAAAGAAGGGGUAGCAAAUGAAAAGGCUGAGCUAGGAAAGAGCUUAACAUGAUCAAGGGAUAGAAAGGCAGCUGGUGGACGGGGAUGGGGUUUGGGGUACAAAGAGAAAUGAAGUCUGAGAGCACAUGGAGAUCCUUGUAGCCCACUGUACGGAGCUUAGCAGUGAUUCCAGUGACAGUGGGCAGACAGCAUGUUUGAAGCCAAGGAGUGAUGUGAUCUGAUUCAAUUUCUGCGGGCUGUGAGGAGAACGGACUUAAGGGGGUGAAUGGAGGCAGAGUCUGGGCCAAAGUGGUGGCUUAAAUUCCUAGCAGUGCCCAUGUUGAGAAGGGGUCAGAGUCUGGAUAUAGAGGGAGAGGUGAUAGGACUUACGGGUGGACCUGCAUGUAGACUGUGAGGGAAAGAAAGGAACCAGGGGUACCUCGGGGGUGUGAUUCUAAACCACUAUAUAAUGGGUGGUGUUAUUAAACAGUGAUGGUGAAAACUUGAGCAGAGAGAAGCUUCAGGGUGGUGGGAUCAGAAAUCAAUAGUUCUUCUUUGCUCAAGUAAAGCCUGAACUGUUUAGAAACUUGUAAGUGAAAUGGCAGGUAGACAGCUGGAUACAGUCUACAGCUCUGGGGAGAGGUCUAUGUGGAGAUAUACUUUGGGAGUCAUCAGACUCUUCAAAGAUUUUAAAACCAUGAGACUAGAUAAGACUCAUCUUGACCCAUCAAGGUAGAUUAUGGUGGGGGAGGGGUAGGAAACAUGAAGCAAUGUUUGUGGUUUUAGAUUUUUAAAGCAAGGAAUAAUAAAUUCCAUUUUGGACACUUAAGGUGGGGAUAAGUGAUUAGCUGGCUUUUCUGUGGUGAAUCACACUAGCCUCUAAAAGUAUUUUAGUAUUACCCUCUUGUACUGCGACUUAACCCUGUCAUCUCAUUUGGAGUCUCCCUAUUUCAUUUCUGCUACAUCAGUAAGCUCUCUGAGAGCAAACGGUGUCUUCCCAAUCCCCAGCAACUAUUCAGAGAGAAGACACUUUUAUCUGUUAUACCAUGAGUAUAAAAAUCCAGUCUUAAUGGUUAAGAAUUGAUUGUAUAGUGGAGAGACUAGGAAGUAGCACAAUAAUGAGCUAGUU
Molecule: long non-coding RNA, 2156 nt
Organism: Physeter macrocephalus (sperm whale)
Lineage: Eukaryota; Metazoa; Chordata; Mammalia; Artiodactyla; Physeteridae
Exons: 3
Source: RefSeq, a predicted model, not a curated record